This 429-nucleotide ribosomal RNA is filed under the name Actinomycetes bacterium. RNAcentral describes it as "Actinobacteria bacterium partial 16S ribosomal RNA". It matches the Rfam family "Bacterial small subunit ribosomal RNA", at positions 355 to 776 of the family's 1533-position model. The record is from RNAcentral. RNAcentral also lists the same sequence under 1 other name. Lineage: Bacteria; Bacillati; Actinomycetota; Actinomycetes.
UAGGGAAUCUUCCGCAAUGGGCGAAAGCUUGACGGAGCAACGCCGCGUGAGUGAUGAAGGUCUUCGGAUCGUAAAACUCUGUUAUUAGGGAAGAACAAAUGUGUAAGUAACUAUGCACGUCUUGACGGUACCUAAUCAGAAAGCCACGGCUAACUACGUGCCAGCAGCCGCGGUAAUACGUAGGUGGCAAGCGUUAUCCGGAAUUAUUGGGCGUAAAGCGCGCGUAGGCGGUUUUUUAAGUCUGAUGUGAAAGCCCACGGCUCAACCGUGGAGGGUCAUUGGAAACUGGAAAACUUGAGUGCAGAAGAGGAAAGUGGAAUUCCAUGUGUAGCGGUGAAAUGCGCAGAGAUUUGGAGGAACACCAGUGGCGAAGGCGACUUUCUGGUCUGUAACUGACGCUGAUGUGCGAAAGCGUGGGGAUCAAACAGG